UUUCGACUAGCGGCGUGCUGGAUUUCCAAUCCAGAGUUCGCGAGUUCGAUUCUCGUAUCGGGAU
RNAcentral lists this transfer RNA (64 nucleotides) under Culex quinquefasciatus (southern house mosquito). It matches the Rfam family "tRNA". Rfam says of the family: Transfer RNA (tRNA) molecules are approximately 80 nucleotides in length. Lineage: Eukaryota; Metazoa; Arthropoda; Insecta; Diptera; Culicidae. The record is from Rfam by way of RNAcentral.